UACAAAUACAUGUGUCUUCUUGGUAGAACAAUUUAUAUGCCUUCAGCGGAGGCGCAGCGGCCCUGGCCAACUUUGUACAAAGGAACCCGACACAGUGGAGGCUCUGGACCUGGAAGUGGGUCCUGCCCGGCCAUGCAAAGACUCAAACUGAAGCAUUGCUCUUCCUGGAUCUCCAGCCUGCCAGCCUUUUGACUAGAGCUAAACCAUCAGCUCUACUGGGUCUCCAGUUUUCCAGGUCACCCUACAUAUCCUGGAAUAUGCCUGCAUACCUGCCUCUAAAAUAAUGUCAUAUAUGUAUGUGUUCAAAGGCAGUCAGACAGGAAGAAUUCCUCUUUACUUCCAGGAGAGUCACCCUUUUGGUUCUAUUCAGGCCUUCAACUGAUUGCGUGAGUCCCAUUCACAUUAGGGAAGGCAAUCUGCUGUACUCAAUCUGCCAAUUUAAAUUUUAAUCUCAUCUGAAAACACCCUCACAGACACACACACACACACACAGACACACACACACACACACAAAGUAAUUUUUCAUCAGACAUCUGGGUUUCCUGUGGCCCCAUCAAUUGGACACAUAAAAUUGGCAUCACAAAGAGCUACUUAUUAUUUAUUUUUUCCACUAUUUCCACUGAACUUUGUAAGUAAAACCAUAGCCUUGCUUUUAAUAAUGUUUUUUCAUUUUACAUCAACUUUAUUUAUUUUACAAUUUAUAGAUUCCUUCAUAAUCGAUGUUCCAUUUAUUUCUUAAGAUCUGUUAAUUUAAUAACAUAUAACAUGUUUACUAUUGUAUAGAUAGAAUUUGAACUAAUUGCAGCAUAAAUUGCAUAAUAUCUUAGAUGAAAUCGCAUUGCUUCUAGUAAAAUAACUUUAAAGAUUGCCAAUCAGAGGUUCUUAAUUGAUUAAGUAUAAUAGUUUCUGGUAAAUAUUUUGUAAGUAAUUUGUGGACCCACAAACAAAAAUCAAUAAUUUAACAGCUAGCUGGAGCUUAAACUAGUUUACCUAAUGUUAAUUUGUAUAGAAAGAGGUAUGCUUUUGACUAGGAAAAACAUGUUAGUAUAACAGCCUUGUAUCUCAAAGCCAACUCCUCCACCAUCACUACCCCCAUCUACACACACACACACAAAAUCUAGGAGGGAGAAAUUUGGGCAAAUAUUUUUUCAUUUUAUAUUGUAAGAUGUGUAUUACGUAACAUAUUUUUAUAUGUUAUCAUUCAUGGGUUUUACAGAAAAAUGCUGUGUCAUUUUGUUUUUCCAGUAAAAGUCAUUAUUCAACAAUACGUUUGUCCUGAAACAUGUAGCAUCUUAUGCUACAAAUAGAGUGAAA
Molecule: long non-coding RNA, 1314 nt
Filed under: Homo sapiens (human)
Lineage: Eukaryota; Metazoa; Chordata; Mammalia; Primates; Hominidae
Description: HSALNT0073352
Source: RNAcentral